UAGGGAAUCUUCCACAAUGGACGCAAGUCUGAUGGAGCAACGCCGCGUGAGUGAAGAAGGUUUUCGGAUCGUAAAGCUCUGUUGUUGGUGAAGAAGGAUAGAGGCAGUAACUGGUCUUUAUUUGACGGUAAUCAACCAGAAAGUCACGGCUAACUACGUGCCAGCAGCCGCGGUAAUACGUAGGUGGCAAGCGUUGUCCGGAUUUAUUGGACGUAAAGCGAGCGCAGGCGGAAUGAUAAGUCUGAUGUGAAAGCCCACGGGUCAACCGUGGAACUGCAUCGGAAAAUGUCAUUCUUGGGUGAAGAAGAGGAGAGUGGAAAUCCAUGUGUAGCGGGGGAAUGCGUAGAUAUAUGGAAGAACACCAGGGGCGAAGGCGGCUCUCUGGUCUGCAACUGACGCUGAGGCUCGAAAGCAUGGGUAGCGAACAGG
Molecule: ribosomal RNA, 429 nt
Filed under: bacterium
Lineage: Bacteria
Description: partial 16S ribosomal RNA
Rfam family: Bacterial small subunit ribosomal RNA
Source: RNAcentral